Molecule: long non-coding RNA, 3904 nt
Organism: Cavia porcellus (domestic guinea pig)
Lineage: Eukaryota; Metazoa; Chordata; Mammalia; Rodentia; Caviidae
Source: Ensembl
AUGUGGCGGCCGGAUGGACCGAAGGGCCUGAGCCUAUCCAGCUCCCAGAGGUCCAGGCUCCAACAAGCUCCCAGUACCUCAGCCAGGUCCCCUGAGCUGUCUGAGGAGUCCUGGCCUUCCAGUUCAGAGACCUCAUCCCCACCCAGCACUACUGAGGGACAGAUGGAGACUUCAUCACCCACCCUGAUUGACAGUGGGGAGUCUGUGGUGGCAAAGUACAUAAAUAGGUUCCGCCAAGCUCAGCCCACCAGCCGAGAGGAACGACAGCAUGCAGGCCCAACCCCAGCUGAUUUUUGGUGGCUGCAGACUGAGUCCUCAGACCCCAGCAGUCGACUUGCAGCCGGACCCAGUAAACCAGAAGGAAGGCCCAGUCCAGCAGUUCUUGCUCCAGCCAAGGUUGCCAGCACCUCCCAGGCUGUGGCUCCCCUUCAGAAAAUAAAGCAGAGCCUUAACACAUGGAACUCAUCCAUGCUGGAUCUGGAGACACUGAGCCUACAGAGCAGAGCUGCCACACUGCUCAAACGCAGGUGCCUGUCCCUCCCUGUCACCCCUCCCAAUCGUACAGGUGUGGCCCAGCACACUACCUCCAUUGCCUCACUUCCACCUUUUCUUUGUAGCAAGGCCUCCAUCUCCUCCUCAUCCCUCAGUCCCAGCGAUGCCAGCUGCUCCUCCUUCCCUGUCAGCUCCGAUGGCCUGUCUCCCUUCUCCAUGACCUUCACCCCUGAGUCCAACAAGGACUCCGGGUCCAGAGUAGCUGCUGCCCCAGCGCCAGCUCAGGGCCCCACUUCUACUCCAGCCCCAGCCUCCUCCCCAGCACCCCUUCCGCCAGAGGAUGACAUUUUGUACCAGUGGCGGCAGCGGCGGAAGCUUGAACAGGCUAAGCAGGUCGAGGGUGGUGGAACCUGGGUGUUGUCCCAGACUCCUGCCCUUGCCACUCGGCAGAAGUUGGGUCCCCACCCGGCAGAAUUCUGCCUUCUCCAGCCGAGAGAGAGUCCUCACUCCCCAAAGCCUCGUCGUCGGCUUUGGAGUCGGGAUCUUUUGAGGUUGCGGCCUUGCCCUCUCCCGAGGCUCACCAUGCCCCAUCCGAGGAGGACCUGUUCUCCCAGGCGGCCGAACUUCUAGAGGCUGCGGAAGGUGAGCAGGUUGCUUACACCCUUUGGGAUCUUAGUGGAGGCCAGCCCGCUAAGAACCUAGCCCCUAAAGUUGACUGUUUUCCACCCCAGAUUCUGAUGGCAGCGAGUUUCAGGACGACCCAGUACUGCAGAUGCUUAGAGCACAGAGGGCGGAGCUUCGGCUGCAGAAAAGGUGAUCCUCAGACAUUUGGGUUGGGUGCCUCCUCCUCCCUUCCUGGAGCCCCAUCCACAGCACCACAUCCUACUCCUGAGCACCCACUCUAUCUGCUCCAUGAUUUCUCUCCAGGAAAGUCGACACACAAAUAUCUCUCUUGACUGACCACAUGGAAGACCUGAAAUCUUGGUCCCCUCCACCGAGAUCAUCCCCCAGGUCUCUAAGGAGGCGGCUGCGCAGAGAAGGAACAUCGUUUGAGGCCAGACGACUUUGAAUUGUAUAAAUUUGUGAAUUUCAUUGUAUAUACACUUUAUCCCAAAAGAAAAAUAUAUAUCUAGCUAAAGAUAUAUGUGCUAAAAUAUUUAAGGGAUAGCAUAGUACUCUGAAGUUUGUACUGGCGAAUUUGUACAUGUGAAGAUUAGUUAGGUAAGUAGAUAGAUAUGAGAUAAGGCAAGUAUAGUAAAAUGUUGAUAGUAGGGUCUAACUAUGGACAUAUGGAUGUCCACUGUAAAAAUUUUCAAUUUGAUGUAAAAAAACUUACAAAACUUGAAAUAUAUGACCAGAAUUGUCUUGAUAUCUGUAUUGAUAAACAAAGGAAUGGAAAGCUUUUAAUCCUAGUAUUCAGGAGACUGAUGUUGGUGCAUCACAAGUGCAAGGAUAGCUGAGGCAGUUUCUAUUCAUCAGACAUGAUAAAUGUUUAUUUUUAACCUUUUUGAACAAGUUAUACAUUUAAAUGAAAUAGAAGGGGCCAUACUAAUUAGUAUUGCUGGGUAACAAGUCAUCCCAAACUUAGUGGCAUAAAACAAUCACUUUAUUAUAUUCGUGGAUUCUGAGUCAGGAAUUUUUACAGAACAAAGCUGGGGAGAGUUUGUCUUUUUUUUUUUUUUUUUUUUUUUGGUACCAGGAAUUGAACUCAGGAUCUUUUGUAUUGGAACCCUGUCAAGAGUCUUGAUUGGCAAUAUCGAAAACCUGGCUAAAUUGAUUGGUCUCAAGAAUAUCCUGAGAAAAAUAAAAAACAGAGACAAGUAUCAUAUUCCAACAAUGGCUUGGAAAUCAAUGUCUCUGGAUCUGACCUCCUCUACUUCCAGAACAGCCACUAUUUAUUUGGUCUAUACAGUAAUAGGCGGACCUAGGAAAAGACUCCGACUCUAGAGGGUGUAAUCUUAUGUUUGAAUUAUCUUGACCUAAGUAUAAUCCUGUGGCAAUUUAAGAAGACAUAGAUGAUCUUAUGCUUAGAAGUAUCUUGUCCUUGAGUAUAAUCCUGAGAUGACUUGAAAGAGUUAAUGGGAAAUCCCAGAUCGGUGGUAUCAGCAAUCCCUAUCCUUCCUUUCAUCCCACAGGGAAAUACACAAAACCAGUUACUGUGAAUUUGUGGUCCCCAACACUUGUGCUUGCCAGGCAAGUGUGUGUGCCACUGAGCUAUAUCCCCAGCCCCCUGAGUUUGUCUUUUUAUGGAAUCUGGGAAGCCUUAAAGGUGACCUGACAAUCAUGGAGUAGAAUCCUUUAGAACUUCAUUUACAGUCUGGCACUGGGGCUGAGAAAACUUAGAGGCUGGGCUCAGCAGGAUCAGCUGUAAUGCCAAUACAACCUCUCUCUCUCAGUUGAGUUUCUCCAAAGCAUGGCCACCUCCACAUAGCCACACUUCUCUACAAAACAUCAUGCUUCUUAGCUAGAACCUCAUGGUUCUAGUAGACAAACAGAAACCUGUACCGCCUUUUACUAGCUGCCCUUGGAAGUCUUAUAAUGUCAGUUUCACUAUUUUCUGUGUGUUUAAAGUUAGCAUGGUUCUGCUCAGGUUUGCGGACAUGGGAUAUCUGGCAAUGAGUGGAAUGCCAAAAAAUUUGCAGCCAUGAUUUAAAACUAUCAGGGGAAGCAAGACGUGGUGGUACAUUCCUGUAAUUCCAACACUGAGAGACUAAAGCAGGAGUAUCACAAGUUCUAGCCUAACCUGAGCAAUUUACAAAUUAGGAGACCUUGUCUUGAAGAAAUAAGGGAUGGAUAUGUAUUUAAUUGUGAAGGUUCUGGGUUCAGUACUCAGUACAAACAAACAAAAUUCCCAAAACAAAAAUACAUAACUUCAAGCUGAUUCUGCCCCUGCCCCCACCCCGGCAUUGCCUUUGCCCAAUUCAUAAUUAAUUUUUUCCAUAGAACACUUUAAUUUUAAAAUAUUUAUUUUGCUGGACCUGGUUACACAUUGGGAUUACAGGCACAUGCCAUCACACUUAGCUUCCCUCUAUUGAUUAUUGAUGUGUCCAUGAAUAAAGUGAUGAGAGCUGAGCUGAGGUUGUACCUCAGCGGUACAGCACUUACCUACCUUGAGCGAGAUCCUUGGUCUCCAGCACUUUGAAAAAUGAAGUGAUCAGUUUUUGAGUGAAUGAACGGACGAAAGACAUAUCUGGCCUCUGAGGUGACAGGACUCUGCUGAGGGCAUGACCAGUGACAGCGCCCUGGGCACGUCUCAGUCAGCUGUAGAAACGAUGAGGAUUGGCUUUGUGGGAGGCAAGACUAUAAUAGUGUGCCAGUAUUGCAGGCUAAAUCUUUUUCCCAGGAAAAAGAAGACUGGAGGCCAGUAGAAGAGAGGACAAGGAAAAUGUCUAAUAGGCAGGGUGAGGUCAGG